Molecule: long non-coding RNA, 559 nt
Organism: Olea europaea var. sylvestris
Lineage: Eukaryota; Viridiplantae; Streptophyta; Magnoliopsida; Lamiales; Oleaceae
Exons: 2
Source: RefSeq, a predicted model, not a curated record
AAUUGGGACUCAAUUUAUUAUGAAAAAUAUUUUGAAGGUUUAAGUUGGACAAAAUAAAAUUUUAGAUAUCUACUUAUAUAUUGCUGGAAGUUUAGAAUUAAAUGUUUUAUUGUAGAAAUGUUGGAGGACCUCCUUUGCAAUUUUGAGUUAGUGGCUACUUAUUUUAUUACAAUAAACCCAUUUCAAUUAUAAUUCAACACACACACACACAUAGUAGGCAAAAACGGGAGAUGGCAGGGAAAGUAACCGAGAAAAAAGAAGAAGAAAAGAAGGAAAGGAAGGAAGAAAGAAGGGAGAAGAAGAACGGAAAGAGAUAGCAGCCUUGGAGCCUGUUGAUCCACCGAGUGUGCCACACACACACUGUCCUUAGAUGUAUGACUUAUUUCUUCAAUUUAUAUAGUUCAAUUUUUUUUAGAUACAUGUAUGUUUUGACAGAAACGUUAAUUGGUAAUUUAUAGAUCCAUAUCAUGGGCUCACUGCAUAUUUAGUAUUCUCAUUGCUUUUGGGGUCUUUUGUUUAUAAACCAUGAUAAAUGUCUUGAAUAGUUUGUAUUUUGAAG